Aspergillus fumigatus A1163 is the source of this 161-nucleotide non-coding RNA. The record is from Rfam. NCBI's taxonomy places the organism in Eukaryota, Fungi, Ascomycota, Eurotiomycetes, Eurotiales, Aspergillaceae.
AUCCUGGUGCACGGGUUUUACACGUGUCAGUGAGGAGACAUCCGAGACCGUGUUUUUGCUAGUUGAAAACUACCUAGUUGACCGCUUCAGUUGGUCUUCGGAUCGGCUGGGAAUUUUUGAAAAAAAGUUGCCCUGACAUCCUAAGUCUUGGUGUCAGUUUU